This 483-nucleotide ribosomal RNA is filed under the name uncultured bacterium. RNAcentral describes it as "bacterial SSU rRNA". It matches the Rfam family "Bacterial small subunit ribosomal RNA", at positions 26 to 507 of the family's 1533-position model. The record is from RNAcentral.
AGGACGAACGCUGGCGGCGUGCUUAAUACAUGCAAGUCAACUUGACUUUAGAUAGCAAUAUCGAAAAGUAGGGUGGCGCACGGGUGCGUAACGCGUAGGUAAUCUGCCCUGAGGUCUGACAUAACCCGUCGAAAGGCGGGCUAACAUCAGAUGAUAUAUAAUCACGACAUCGUGGAAAUAUCAAAUCUUCGGAGCCUUGGGAUGAGCCUGCGUCUGAUUAGGUAGUUGGCGGGGUAAUAGCCCACCAAGCCUACGAUCAGUAGCUGGUCUGAGAGGAUGAUCAGCCACACUGGAACUGAGACACGGUCCAGACUCCUACGGGAGGCAGCAGUAAGGAAUAUUGCUCAAUGGGGGGAAACCCUGAAGCAGCAACGCCGCGUGAAGGAUGAAAUACUUUUGUAUGUAAACUUCUGUAAGAUGGGAAAAAUAUUCUCCUCGGGAGAAUUGAUUGUACCAUCAGAGUAAGCCCCGGCUAACUACGUG